RNAcentral lists this ribosomal RNA (510 nucleotides) under uncultured bacterium. RNAcentral describes it as "bacterial SSU rRNA". It matches the Rfam family "Bacterial small subunit ribosomal RNA", at positions 15 to 518 of the family's 1533-position model. The record is from RNAcentral.
GAUCCUGGCUCAGGAUGAACGCUAGCGACAGGCUUAACACAUGCAAGUCGAGGGGCAGCAUAAAAGUAGCAAUACUUGGUGGCGACCGGCGCACGGGUGAGUAACGCGUAUGCAACCUACCUAUCAGAGGGGAAUAACCCGGCGAAAGUCGGACUAAUACCGCAUAAAACAGGGGCACCGCAUGGUGAUAUUUGUUAAAGAAAUUCGCUGAUAGAUGGGCAUGCGUUCCAUUAGGUAGUUGGUGAGGUAACGGCUCACCAAGCCGACGAUGGAUAGGGGAACUGAGAGGUUGGUCCCCCACACUGGUACUGAGACACGGACCAGACUCCUACGGGAGGCAGCAGUGAGGAAUAUUGGUCAAUGGGCGGGAGCCUGAACCAGCCAAGUCGCGUGAAGGAAGAAGGAUCUAUGGUUCGUAAACUUCUUUUGCAGGGGAAUAAAGUGCAGGACGUGUCCUGUUUUGUAUGUACCCUGAGAAUAAGGAUCGGCUAACUCCGUGCCAGCCGCAGC